UUUGCAGGUUUUGUUUAUAGCAGUGGGUCCUGGAGGGCCGACAUCCUGCAGGUUCUAGUCUCUCCUGGUGGUAGAAACAACCUUUUCAGCAGGUCAAUGUUCUUCUAACGAGCCUCAUUGGAUCCAGGUUUGUUAAACCAGGGAGAGACUAAAACAUGCAGGUUUCGGCCCUCAGGGGCCCACUGUGGCCCCCACUGCUUUAGACAUUUUCUGUUUGCUCAUUUUGCCCAGAAGAAGCUGAGUUUUACUUUAAAUGGUGAAUUCUGUUAUGUUUAGUUUUUCUCUUUUACUUUAUUUAACUUUAUUAGUAACUAAUAAAACAUCCAAACUCCGCCCACUUCCACAGUCCUUCACUGAGAGGAAGAGACUUUAAAUCCUGCUGCUAGUUUAUAAAUCACUGAACGGAUUAAAGAUCUGCAGCUGCUGGAUCAACCUGCUGGUUCUGGUUCU
Molecule: long non-coding RNA, 450 nt
Organism: Xiphophorus hellerii (green swordtail)
Lineage: Eukaryota; Metazoa; Chordata; Actinopteri; Cyprinodontiformes; Poeciliidae
Exons: 3
Source: RefSeq, a predicted model, not a curated record